Molecule: RNA transcript, 2257 nt
Organism: Capra hircus (goat)
Lineage: Eukaryota; Metazoa; Chordata; Mammalia; Artiodactyla; Bovidae
Gene: RSRP1
Gene name: arginine and serine rich protein 1
Exons: 5
Source: RefSeq, a predicted model, not a curated record
UGCGCACGCGCAGAGCGCCAGCUCCUGGUAUUUUUAGACGAGUCUGCUGUCGCCCUGUUCAAAUUGUGUCAGGACGUUGGACGUGGAGGAUUAGAGUGUUCGUUUGGGGAAGAACAGUGAACCUGUCUUCGUCCUUAGCUUCUACAGGAAGGCGUGCGUUGGGCCUUUCUCUCAUUGAGUGAGGCGUCGACGGCCUGUGGAACUGAGUUUCUGGCAAGGGAUACUCGUAGAAGAGUUAGCUGCCGGCCGAGAUGUCCAGCUACGUGAACGACCUGUGGCCGGGUUCGCCGCCCAAGGCCUCGCCUUCGUCCUCGCGGUCGGGCCCGUGCAGCCGGCCGUCGUCGGCCUCCGGGAGCCGCUCUUCGUCCCGUUCCAGCGUCUCGAGCCGGUCGUGGUCCCGGAGCCGCAGCCCGCCCGGGCGGAGGAGCCGCUCCAGGUCUCGCUCCCGAAGGCGCCACCAGAGGAGGUACCGGCGCUACUCGCGCUCUUACUCGCGGAGCCACUCGCGUUCCCGCAGCCGCCGGUAUCGGGAGAGGCACUCCGGCUCCACCCGGACGUCCUACCGGUCCCGCAGCCGCUCCCGCGGCCGCUUGUAUUACCGUAGGGCCUACGGCAUCGCGCGAGGCCGCCGCUACUACGGCUUCGGCCGCACCGUCUACCCCGAGGAGCGCAGAAGCUGGAGGGGGCGAUCCCGGAGCAGGUCGCGAAGCCCAACCCCCUUUCGCUUGAGCGAGAAAGAUCGAAUGGAGCUGUUAGAAAUAGCCAAAGCCAAUGCAGCAAAAGCGUUAGGAACAGCCAACUUUGACUUGCCAGCUAGUCUCAGAAGUGUUCCUGUAUCUAAAGAAAGAAACCAGGAAACAGGUGUACUGAAUAAUGGUGCAAAGUCUGAGAAAUCAUGAAUGUGGUCUCCAGACAUUGAUGAAGAAAGUCUGUUGGUAAUUGAUACAUGCGCAAAAGCAUCAGAGGUUAAACUAAUUUGAAGUCUAUGUUGACACACUGAAAGCUUAGUGUUUUGUUGGUAGAUUCCGAUGCAUGCUAGAAUUUGGGACAAGCACCAUUUGGAUAAGAUACUAAAGACAAUUUUUAAAUGAAAGUGUACUUUGUAAUGGCGGGGCAUCUGAUACAGAUGUCCCUUUGAUAAUAUAUGCAAUAUAUUCCAGAUGUUUUGAGAGAUUACAGAAGAAGAGGCCUGCUUCAUUUGCAGAUAAGUUUAUUAUAAUUCUCCAGAAAUGUGCAGCAUAAAAUGCAUAGCUUUAAAGGUUUAUAAUAAUUAGGAAUUGAUACAUUCAGUUAACAUGAGAACGAUGGGUUAUCUAUCAUGCAGACCCAGAUGUGGGUUUGCCUAAGCAUUAGUGGUGGACAAAUAAGAGUUGAGUUGAUUUUUCAGGUGAUUAGGUACCCAACUGGAUGGGCAAAUGCCUUAGUUCUUUUGAAACUAGGUAUUUUUUUGGUAUAAUUUUAUUUUCACAGUUACUUGAAUUUAGAUCAGAGGGAUACAUACAAUACUGCUUUAUGGAGAAAGGUAUCUUAAAUCAUUGAAUCAAUUUUAUGGGAAAAACUUAACAAAAGUACUAUGUUAUUUUAGGAUGUUGACUGGUUAGAUCAAACUUGAUUUAUGUCUCUACAAGUAAAUUCAUAAUACAAUUGGACUACUUUUUAUACCUACAAGGGUAUGACUUCUAAAAUUUACUUUCUUUUACCUGUCUAGCUAUCGGACAAGUUAACAGAAGAUGGAACAAAAAAUGCCAAUGAAAAGUCUUAUCAGCAAAGAAGCAUCACUUUUAGCUCUAAUAAUUCUGUAGCAAAGCCUAUGCUUCAGAAAUCAGCUAAAGCUAUUGCUGAAGAGAAUUCUUCAGGAUCCCCAAAAAUAGAUAAGAAGAAAAGUCCAUAUGGACUGUGGAUACCUGUCUAAAAAAAGCCAGCUGCUAAGGUUGCCUGAAAUGCACUUUUUUUUGCAAGUUUCUGUUUCUAGCAUUAUUCCAUUCUUGUGAACCAUUUAGUGGUGGUGUUGCAAUUACAAAUGACAACACAAAAAUAUGUAAAUACUUAAAAUUUAAAUAAUGAUUUAGAUUUCUCUUGCAGAUGGGAGAUAGCACAAAUGGACCACAGGUUACACACAGGUGGGAUUCUUGUAUAUUUACACUUGUAAAUAUUUUAUAUAAUAUGGAUCUGUUAUGUAGAAGUGAGAUUUUUAAAAGCAAACAGUAAUUGAACUGUUUGUGUUGUAAACAUUUUGUUAAUAAAUUUUUAAAAAUUA